GGAAGCGUGCCCGAAAGAUAAGGACCUCCUUGAUAGAG
RNAcentral lists this transfer RNA (38 nucleotides) under Polypedates leucomystax (Java whipping frog). RNAcentral's name for it is "partial tRNA-Ile". The record is from RNAcentral. Lineage: Eukaryota; Metazoa; Chordata; Amphibia; Anura; Rhacophoridae.